This 253-nucleotide ribosomal RNA is filed under the name uncultured bacterium. RNAcentral's name for it is "partial 16S ribosomal RNA". It matches the Rfam family "Bacterial small subunit ribosomal RNA", at positions 524 to 776 of the family's 1533-position model. The record is from RNAcentral.
GACAGAGGGUGCAACCGUUGUUCGGAAUUACUGGGCGUAAAGCGCGUGUAGGCGGCCCUGCAAGUCGGAUGUGAAAUCCCACGGCUCAACCAUGGAAGUGCAUUCGAAACUGCAGAGCUAGAGUCCUGGAGAGGAAGGUGGAAUGCUUGGUGUAGAGGUGAAAUUCGUAGAUAUCAGGAAGAACACCCGUGGCGAAGGCGGCUCUCUGGGACGGUACUGACGCUGAGACGCGAAAGCGUGGGGAGCGAACAGG